Long non-coding RNA from Eucalyptus grandis, 1680 nucleotides. RefSeq lists it as uncharacterized. The transcript is spliced from 7 exons. The record is from RefSeq and is a predicted model, not a curated record. Lineage: Eukaryota; Viridiplantae; Streptophyta; Magnoliopsida; Myrtales; Myrtaceae.
CCACCCCCACCCCCAAGUCGCCGGAGCUUUCGAUGGCCAUCCGUCGCGGAAAUCGCUAUAGUGCGAUGAGCGCUGCGAAGACCAGGAUUGGAGGUUUGAAUUCGAGCAAUACGGAGGAAGACCGCAAUCGAUCUAUCCAUCUCGCCGGGCGAUCGCUCGAUCGCGCCAUUCGAUCGCGCAUGAUUGUUUUGCUUACAUAUGGAAAGGCAUAUAUUAUGGUGGCCAGGAUAUUAAUGCUACGGUUACAGCUUUCAAAGCUAAGAAGAGUAGCCUAUGGUGGAUAUGUACACAAAGCACAUGGAUCUGCUGUCCAUAAGAAGGGAAAACAGUGAAUCAUUUCCAUGGAGACACAAAAGUUAUGUGCUUGUAAUUUUAGAUGAAGUCAUGAGAAGAUCACAUACUUCACUAAUUUUGUUCUUGGAAAAGUUGUUUGAGGUUUUCAGUUAGUGAUUACUUCUAUUUAUUUCUACAGCAUAUAGAAUUGGGUUGAAGAUCUCUGCUGGAAACAGCUUGACAUAAACCACCCCAACAUGCCUGGUGCCAUGGUUUAUCGUGGAUUUAUUAUGCUUAUCACAAUAUGAUAAUGUGACGUGGUACUUUGGAUGCUGUUAAGUGAGCCAAGGAUUUAUAUGGAGACGUCAACAUCAUGGUGACAAGGCAUUCUAUGGGAGGGGCUAUGCCAUCCUUUUGGGGACUUGAUCUUGUGCAUGCUGAAUUAGGUUGAAGAUCUCUACUGGAAUUGCUCGACAUAAACUACCCUGACAUGCUUGGUGCUAUGGUCAAUCAUGAAGCAUGGAAUGUUCAGGUUUUAACAUUUGGACAACCUCGUAUUGGCAAUGCAGUGUUUUUGUCUUACUACAGUGACCGUGUGCCAAUAACAUUUCUAAUUACUACUGGACUUGUUGUUGUGCCUCAUUUGCCUCCGUACUAUUCUCGGUUCCCACAGGAGACAUGCCAUCACUUCCCUAGAUAGGUAUGGCUGUAUAAUAUAGGAUUUGGUAGUCUGGUUUACCAGUUUGAGAAGGAUUGGGAUACAUCUGGAGAAUAUUCAUCAUGCAGCAAGUAAGGAGCUAGUUUCAGUCGUAGCUACUUGUUCAAGCAAUUAUUUUCGUGGAUUUAUCAUGCUACAUGCAAUAAGUGGUGUGAUAGACUAGCUUGUUCUGGAGAAUGUCCAUUUGUACCAGGAAUAUUGUGGACAACUGAUGAUGGUGUGUUUCUUCAGAUUGGUAAAUGGGACAACAUUGUAGACCAUUUAGUCUUACUAUAGUGGGGAAUUAAUGGCUGAGACAUGGGGAUCAUGCAAAAUCGUUGUGGAUGCACUAUUGACGGAAUAUGGAGGUGAAGAUGUCAAAGGAAAUCUUAUGCUUUCUAGGAAUCCUUCUCCUUCUGCAUUGAGGCUGCAGACUCCAAUGCCAAGAGCAACUUCAGUUGAAAUUCUCCUGGGUCAGCACCUGGUUUGUCAUAAAUCAUCAGGGACCUCUGUGAUGAAGUUUGGUCACAAAAUACAUUCCAUCGAUCCUUUGUCCAUAUCCAUAAGAUCCAUAGGAGCUCAAAUUCAAUCUAAAUGUAAAUAGCACAAAGUUGAAUUCCUUGUAAAUACAACUCCAGGAUUUCAAUUCAAUGAAUGUGUUUGCAUGUUUGUCUGUCGAUCUAAUCUUGGGCCUGUGGCUGUUUACCAGA